UAAGCCCCAAAUGAUAUUGCCUCGAUCUGUCUCAAACGUCUCGACUCUUCCUCUAUCUUCUUCGUUUCACCCCUUCUUCGAUCUCCUUAACCUUCACGUUUCCUUUUCUUUAAAUGAUCGUCGAUCAAUCGACGCAUAACUCCUUCUUCUAUAAUCAAUCCUUCAUCACAUUAAUGGCUUUGUUUGGCCUUUCUCCAUCCAAGUCAUGUCGAACGCUGUAUUUCGAAUACUCCAACAGAUUAAUUUGAAAAAUACCGUGUUGAAGACAAAUCAGUAGCAAAUGUUUACAGAAAACCGACAGCUUACCAUAAUCUUCUGGUAUCUCUUGGUUUGUCUAACAAGGUUGUUUCUGACAUGAACAGAAGAAGGCAGAGAGAUGAGCAAGUUAGAAGCGACACAGAAGAUGCGGAUGAUGAAGACGAGGAAAACAGUGCUUCUGAGGAUAGAAGCUCUACAGAUGGAGAGGAUGAUGAGGAAGAAGAUUCUGAGUGUUCUGACACAGACGAGGAGAAUUAGUUGAGUACCAAUGGCCAAUCUUCUGUAGUUGCUUCUUCAUCUACCAGUGCAUUUAGUGAGCACAUUGGCCAUACUUUAUUAAGUGAAGAAGUGGAAACACGUCUGGAGAUUUAAAUGGAAAGCACCUGCCAUUGGCAUGCCAAAUUGCAGCUGGAAAGGAACUAGACAAAAAAAAUUUUGAUGAAGCUGGAGGGGAGAAGUUUGGCUCAUCUGCAAGGAGAAGAUUCUUCUCCAUUUGCAACAGCUAUAUGGAUAUUUUGCAUUCUAACAAGAAACCCUUUUACAAUGGAGACCGUGGAGAAGGUUGAUUACUGAAGUUCGAAACUUGGAACAUGAAUCUGUGAGUUGUGUCUAAAUCUCGAUGCUUUGUUCGUUUGUUUCGGUGUCAGACGAAAUCAAGGCUACAGAUGUUGAUGUGAUCCCCAAGAUACCGUUAUUUUGAUCAAAAUCGAUCCGACGACUUCCGUUAGUGACGUAGCUUCAUCACAUAUACAAAUAUCAUGCUACUUAAAUAUUCCCUUACACAAUAGUGAUAUGUUAUUUCUUUCAUUCUAAAGUUUUUAGUUUUAAAUGAAAGACACCUUAUGGAGGCUGUUUCCGAAAGGGUAUGGUGCCAGGUGCCAACACAUCACUCCCAUACCUUGAUGCUUACCUUCAGAUCAGGCUCUGUUUUUUUUCUUAUAAAAAGGAUUGUCUUUUAAGUGUUUAUGCAGGAUGAAGAGAAGCUUAGAAACAUCGAAAUCUGUGACAUGCUUUCAUAGCAGCGUCUCAUCGCCUUGCUGAUUUCAUCUUCUCGCCUGGCAACCAUUGCCUGCAAUGGAGUGACAGAGAGAGAAUAGACGUUAAGCUGUGAUGCUAAAGUCAGAGUUCUUAGGUUUCUCCGACCGGUUUGUACAGCGAGAUGUGAUGCUAAGGAGUUUAAUGACGUCAUCCAGACGCUUGGGUUUGUUCGACACGAGAACUUGGUUCCUCUGUUGGGUUUCUACGGUGGAAACAGAGGAGAGAAGCUUAUGGUUCAUCCUUUCUUCUCUUCCGGGGAUCUCUCUGACUUCAUCAAAAGUUUCUUAGGUGUUCCACUAGACUGAUGGACCCUGGAGGAUACCUAGAGGGAAAGAUGAAGUAGAUGACAUCAAUGGUUAGGAAGGUGAGUUCAUGAUGGAUGAUUUAUUGGAAGAGCGAGGAGAUGGAAAUGACAAGGAAGGUGCACUGAUAAUGCAGAAGCAAUGGAAGCCGACAUGAAACAUUAGGACGUCAAAGUUUGAGUUAGAGAACGCUGAGAUAUAUUGUAUCAAAUAUUACAAUUUCUGUUAAUCGAUCGGUCACUUUUAUUCGAAGCAACCAAUUUUCAGUUAUAGAAGUUUUUUUUGGUAAUCGAGUAAAUGAAAAACAUAAAGUCAGACUGUUUCUUAUC
Molecule: long non-coding RNA, 1927 nt
Organism: Raphanus sativus (radish)
Lineage: Eukaryota; Viridiplantae; Streptophyta; Magnoliopsida; Brassicales; Brassicaceae
Exons: 6
Source: RefSeq, a predicted model, not a curated record